GGAAGUAGGCUCUAAGCAGAACUUCUUGGCGUAGUAUUUGCCAGGCUUGAAGGCAAAUGAGUCAACACCACCGUCGAUGGUUGGGCACUGGUUAGCAGUUCCUGUUCCUUUUACUUCCAUGUAUGUCUUGCUCUGGAUUUCAUCGUAGGUUAGCCUCUUUGGAACUCCUUCAGCGUUUGCUCCCUUUAGAAAAGAGGGAAAAAAAAAAAAAACACAAGUACCAUUUGUUACAUCAGAUCACAUGCCAAUCAACCCUUCUAAGAUAAAACUGAAAUGAGAGUUUAUGCGUUUUAGAAACAGAUCAGCUUCAACUAGUCCUGGAGGAAGAGGUAUUGUUAACAAGUUUUCAUUGAAUAACAGACCAAUAUGCAUAUACUAAUACUACAUACGUUUUCCUACAUAACAGAUCACACCCUGUUUCAUUUCUUCAAUCAAAAAAGGGGUAUGGUAGGAUAUAUGCAUGCAGCCAGGGAUCUAUAGAAAAUUGUCACAAACCUUGCUAGUUACAACAACCAUAACAAGCUCAUAUUUUCAAAUAUUUGACUAUUCUCUUAGUAUCCUACCAAACAAACGAACAUAGAAUUGAACUUAGUCAGAGUGAGAAUACUAGGAAAAGCUCCCAUGCAAAAGAAUUCAGCUCACCCCCUCACAAGCAUUGAUAGUUAAACAAUUUCCAACCCAAAACAGAAAUGAAAUCAAGCAAAAGAACUAUACCGAGACAACAAGAGCAGAUGUAGCGAGAGCGAAACCAGCGAUCUUGGUAGCAUCAACACACUUUUGAGCCAAGUCCUUAAGGUCAGAUUGCAAAGAGCAAGUCAGCCUAGCUCCAACAGGCUCCAAACCAAAGGCCUUAGAAACGCUCUGGGAGGACCUAAGCUGCACGCUGGUCCUAGAUGGCACACCAACCUUGGUUGGUUGCAUGAGGGUAGCUGCUGCUUGUAGUG
Molecule: long non-coding RNA, 944 nt
Filed under: Theobroma cacao (cacao)
Lineage: Eukaryota; Viridiplantae; Streptophyta; Magnoliopsida; Malvales; Malvaceae
Description: long non-coding RNA (TCAC_LNC000034)
Source: RNAcentral